AUAUUCGCAGGUGCCGCUCGCAAGAACGGCUAUGGCGAUAAACGGAUCUCGAAAUAAGCCUUUCGGACCCGGGGGCGGUACCCGGCGCCUCCACCAAAACCCUGAUGACGCAGGGUUUUGGCGGGGGCGAAAUAGGAUCGACGAGGGUGUAAAGGUUAUCCUUUUGCUCGGCAUGGUUCCGCCGUUAUCGGGCCAAAGCAUAGUUGCCAACGACAACAAUGCUCGGGUUGCUGUCGCCGCGUAAGCGGUGCUGGUUCCCAAACCAAAGCCCUUGCGCUUAGCCGCGUAAGGCGGGGCUCGGAGGCGCCUGGCAACAGAAGCCUCCACUUCUUUUU
RNAcentral lists this transfer-messenger RNA (335 nucleotides) under Allobosea sp. ANAM02. RNAcentral describes it as "Bosea sp. ANAM02 transfer-messenger RNA". It matches the Rfam family "Alphaproteobacteria transfer-messenger RNA". From Rfam's summary of the family: Bacterial tmRNA, also known as 10Sa RNA or SsrA, is named for its dual tRNA and mRNA-like properties. Its role is to liberate the mRNA from a stalled ribosome. To accomplish this part of the tmRNA is used as a reading frame that ends in a translation stop signal. The record is from RNAcentral. Lineage: Bacteria; Pseudomonadati; Pseudomonadota; Alphaproteobacteria; Hyphomicrobiales; Alloboseaceae.